This 478-nucleotide ribosomal RNA is filed under the name uncultured bacterium. RNAcentral's name for it is "partial 16S ribosomal RNA". It matches the Rfam family "Bacterial small subunit ribosomal RNA", at positions 28 to 523 of the family's 1533-position model. The record is from RNAcentral.
AUUGAACGCUGGCGGCGUGCUUAACACAUGCAAGUCGAACGGUAAGGCCCUUCGGGGUACACGAGUGGCGAACGGGUGAGUAACACGUGGGUGAUCUGCCCUGCACUUCGGGAUAAGCCUGGGAAACUGGGUCUAAUACCGGAUAGGACCACUGCCUGCAUGGGUGGUGGUGGAAAGCUUUUGCGGUGUGGGAUGGGCCCGCGGCCUAUCAGCUUGUUGGUGGGGUGAUGGCCUACCAAGGCGACGACGGGUAGCCGGCCUGAGAGGGUGACCGGCCACACUGGGACUGAGAGACGGCCCAGACUUCUACGGGAGGCAGCAGUGGGGAAUAUUGCACAAUGGGCGCAAGCCUGAUGCAGCGACGCCGCGUGAGGGAUGACGGCCUUCGGGUUGUAAACCUCUUUCAGCACCGACGAAGCGCAAGUGACGGUAGGUGCAGAAGAAGGACCGGCCAACUACGUGCCAGCAGCCGCCGUAA